RNAcentral lists this ribosomal RNA (405 nucleotides) under uncultured bacterium. RNAcentral describes it as "partial 16S ribosomal RNA". It matches the Rfam family "Bacterial small subunit ribosomal RNA", at positions 30 to 526 of the family's 1533-position model. The record is from RNAcentral.
AUUGAACGCUAGCGGGAUGCUUUACACAUGCAAGUCGAACGAGUGGCGGACGGGUGAGUAAUAUAUCGGAACGUGCCCCGUAGCGGGGGAUAACUACUCGAAAGAGUGGCUAAUACCGCAUACUCUUGGAGCGGCCGAUCUCGGAUUAAUGAGUGGGGGGGGGAAAGGCUAACCAAGGCAACGAUCCGUAGCUGGUUUGAGAGGAGGACCAGCAACACUGGGACUGGGACACGGCCCAGACUCCUACGGGAGGCAGCAGUGGGGAAUUUUGGACAAUGGGGGAAACCCUGAUCCAGACAUCCCGCGUGUAUGAGAAGGCCUUCGGGUUGUAAAGUACUUUCAGCGGGGAGGCGUUACCCGAAGAAGAAGCACCGGCUAACUCCGUGCCAGCAGCCGCGGUAAUAC